GGGUCCGUGGGUCUCUUCAGGGACUGUGUCGCCGGUUGCAAGCGAGGGCGUCUGGGCUCGAACCGACGGAGCCAUGCCUCUACGACUUGAUAUCAAGAGAAAGCUAACUGCUCGGUCUGAUCGAGUUAAGAGUGUGGAUUUGCAUCCUACAGAGCCAUGGAUGUUGGCAAGUCUUUACAAUGGCAGUGUGUGUGUUUGGAAUCAUGAAACACAGACGCUGGUGAAAACAUUUGAAGUAUGUGACCUUCCUGUUCGAGCUGCAAAGUUUGUUGCAAGAAAGAAUUGGGUUGUGACAGGAGCGGAUGACAUGCAGAUUAGAGUGUUCAAUUACAAUACUCUGGAGAGAGUUCAUAUGUUUGAAGCGCACUCGGACUACAUUCGCUGUAUCGCUGUUCAUCCAACCCAGCCUUUCAUUCUCACCAGCAGUGAUGACAUGCUUAUUAAGCUCUGGGACUGGGAUAAAAAAUGGUCUUGCUCACAAGUGUUUGAAGGACACACGCAUUAUGUUAUGCAGAUUGUGAUCAACCCCAAAGAUAACAAUCAGUUUGCCAGCGCAUCUUUGGACAGAACUAUCAAGGUGUGGCAGCUGGGCUCUUCAUCACCAAACUUCACUUUGGAGGGACAUGAGAAAGGCGUGAAUUGCAUUGAUUACUACAGUGGUGGCGACAAACCAUACCUUAUUUCAGGUGCAGAUGACCGUCUGGUUAAAAUAUGGGACUAUCAGAAUAAAACAUGUGUGCAGACACUAGAGGGACAUGUCCAAAAUGUGUCUUGUGCCAGUUUUCAUCCUGAGUUGCCAAUCAUCAUCACAGGUUCAGAAGAUGGAACUGUGCGCAUAUGGCAUUCAAGCACGUAUCGCCUUGAGAGCACAUUGAAUUAUGGAAUGGAGAGGGUGUGGUGUGUGGCCAGUCUGAGAGGGUCCAAUAAUGUCGCUUUGGGCUAUGACGAAGGGAGUAUCAUUGUUAAGCUUGGUCGGGAGGAACCUGCCAUGUCCAUGGAUGCCAAUGGAAAGAUAAUUUGGGCCAAGCAUUCAGAAGUCCAGCAGGCCAACCUAAAAGCAAUGGGAGAUGCUGAAAUUAAAGAUGGAGAAAGAUUGCCACUGGCAGUAAAGGAUAUGGGCAGUUGUGAAAUAUACCCUCAGACUAUUCAACACAAUCCUAAUGGGCGGUUUGUUGUGGUUUGUGGUGAUGGCGAGUAUAUCAUCUACACAGCAAUGGCUUUGAGAAACAAGAGCUUUGGGUCUGCCCAGGAGUUUGCAUGGGCCCAUGAUUCUUCAGAAUAUGCAAUAAGAGAGAGCAACAGUGUUGUAAAGAUAUUUAAGAACUUUAAGGAAAAAAAAUCAUUUAAACCAGAUUUUGGAGCUGAAAGUAUCUAUGGAGGCUUCUUAUUGGGGGUCAGAUCUGUAAAUGGCUUGGCUUUCUAUGACUGGGACAAUACAGAACUCAUACGCAGAAUUGAAAUUCAGCCCAAACAUAUUUUCUGGUCUGACUCUGGAGAGCUGGUCUGUAUUGCCACUGAGGAGUCAUUUUUUAUCCUUAAGUACCUGUCGGAAAAAGUCUUGGCUGCACAGGAAACGCAUGAGGGAGUUACUGAAGAUGGCAUUGAAGAUGCCUUUGAGGUUCUUGGUGAGAUUCAGGAAAUUGUGAAAACAGGGCUGUGGGUAGGCGACUGCUUCAUUUACACAAGUUCUGUGAACAGAUUAAAUUAUUAUGUUGGAGGAGAAAUAGUCACCAUUGCCCACUUGGACAGAACGAUGUAUCUCCUGGGCUAUAUUCCUAAAGACAACAGGCUUUAUCUGGGGGACAAAGAACUGAACAUCGUCAGCUACUCCCUCCUGGUCUCCGUGCUGGAGUACCAGACGGCUGUCAUGCGGAGGGACUUCAGCAUGGCUGACAAGGUCCUUCCCACCAUUCCAAAGGAACAAAGGACCAGAGUCGCCCACUUUUUGGAAAAGCAGGGCUUCAAGCAGCAAGCUCUAACAGUAUCCACAGAUCCUGAGCAUCGCUUUGAACUUGCUCUUCAGCUUGGAGAACUAAAAAUUGCGUACCAGUUAGCAGUGGAAGCAGAGUCGGAACAGAAGUGGAAACAACUUGCUGAGCUUGCCAUCAGUAAAUGUCAGUUUGGCCUCGCCCAGGAGUGCCUGCACCACGCACAGGAUUAUGGGGGUCUGUUGCUAUUGGCCACCGCCUCUGGAAAUGCUAGUAUGGUGAACAAGCUAGCAGAGGGUGCAGAGAGAGAUGGCAAGAAUAAUGUGGCAUUCAUGAGUUACUUCUUACAGGGCAAGCUCGAUGCUUGCCUAGAGCUCUUGAUCAGGACUGGACGACUGCCAGAAGCUGCUUUCCUGGCCCGGACUUACUUACCCAGUCAGGUUUCAAGGGUGGUUAAACUGUGGAGAGAAAAUCUCUCAAAAGUCAAUCAGAAAGCAGCGGAAUCCCUUGCUGAUCCAACAGAGUAUGAGAACCUUUUUCCUGGAUUAAAAGAAGCCUUUGUUGUGGAAGAAUGGGUGAAGGAAACACAUGCUGACCUGUUGCCAGCUAAGCAAUACCCACUUGUCACGCCAAAUGAAGAAAGAAAUGUCAUGGAAGAGGCAAAAGGCUUUCAGCCCUCAAGGUCUGCAACUCAACAGGAACUUGAUGGGAAACCUGCUUCUCCUACUCCGGUUAUCAUAGAAUCCCACACAGCCAACAAAGAAGAAAAGAGUUUACUGGAACUAGAAGAUUUGGAUAAUUUGGAUUUAGAAGAUAUUGACACAACAGAUAUCAACCUGGAUGAAGAGAUUUUGGAUGACUGAAUGUAAUGUUUCCCAUUUAAGGACUAAACAGAUUAUGGACAGGGCCACUAUUUGGAACUUAAGAAAAAAACAAAUAGGGAACUCCAAAUCAAACUUUAAGAAAACCCAUUCACGGGUGAUGUCAAAGCUAAUGCACCUAAAGGCAAUUCACUUGAAGCAUCCUCAUGACCCCCAGCCUGCUCUCUGCUUAUGUGGGACGAAGGUGUGUAUAUUCCUGCCCUCUGCACUGGAUUCCACUACACAUGCUGAAGUGGGCUGGCUGGACAUCACCUACGGUUAGGAAUGCUGUUUCUAUGAGAAAUGAUGCUGUUUUCAAAUAUGGACUGUAUUUCUUAGACCAUGCCUAUGGCACUUUCUAAUUACAAAUGCCUUACCUUAGUAGGAAUGGUUCAGGUUACUUGGUGGAUAAUCUCUGAGUCAAAAGGCCUUAGUC
Eptesicus fuscus (big brown bat) is the source of this 3224-nucleotide RNA transcript. It is a transcript of the gene named COPI coat complex subunit beta 2, with no coding region annotated. The transcript has 24 exons. NCBI's taxonomy places the organism in Eukaryota, Metazoa, Chordata, Mammalia, Chiroptera, Vespertilionidae. The record is from RefSeq and is a predicted model, not a curated record.